This 274-nucleotide ribosomal RNA is filed under the name uncultured bacterium. Its description in RNAcentral is "partial 16S ribosomal RNA". It matches the Rfam family "Bacterial small subunit ribosomal RNA", at positions 523 to 796 of the family's 1533-position model. The record is from RNAcentral.
AUACGGAGGGUGCAAGCGUUGUUCGGAAUUACUGGGCGUAAAGGGCGCGCAGGCGGUUUGGUAAGUCAGAUGUGAAAGUCCAGGGCUUAACCCUGGAAGUGCAUAUGAAACUGUCAGACUUGAGUAUCAGAGGGGAAAGUGGAAUUCCCGGUGUAGAGGUGAAAUUCGUAGAUAUCGGGAGGAAUACCGGUGGCGAAGGCGACUUUCUGGCUGAAUACUGACGCUGAGGCGCGAAAGCGUGGGGAGCAAACAGGAGUAGAUACCCUAGUAGUCC